CCUAGGUUUCCUUUUGGGCGGCGUUUCGUUCCAGGCGCUGGCGUGGCGUUUAUCGUCAUCAGCUUAUCUGGCGCCCAUGUGUUUUAGCUCUGGCUGGCGUCGCAGCGCCUGGGCGGCUGUGGGACUUCCUGCACAGCGCGUCUUGCAGCGGGCUGGAGCCCGCCUAGUCAGCGCCACAUCUGGCCCGUUUAGUUUUCUGCUUGUGUCUCCUCUGCCGGUUCUCCUGGGGUGUUGCUUAAGCAACCGACUUGUGGGGGUGGGGUGGGUUUGGGCGGCGCGAGUGCGUAGCGCUGGUGUUUUCUUUGCUGGCGCGCGGUGGUGGUGGUUCUUGCGGUUAGGCUGUGGUGUAGGCUGGUGCUUGGGUUAGGUCUGGCGGUGUUUUUGUGCAACCCCUCCCGGGGGGCGGGGGGGCCAGCCUUCUGCUCUGUCUGCCGGGUCGGGGUGGGGUGUGGUGGGAUGGAUGGGGGUAGUUGGUGGCGGUUUUCGAGGUGUUUGCUUUCUGUUUUUCUUCUCUUUUCUUCUCUUCUUGCCCUGUCAGGGUUCUGGUCUCGGGGACCAGGCUGCUUUCGGGCAGUAGGGGGGCAGCGCGUCUGCCCCUCUUCAACCUUGUAAGGAUGAUUCCUCAAAAAAAAAAAAAAAGCUGCAGCCGCCGCGUCACCCAAACCCGACGCCUCCUGCAUCUGCACGUCCCCUACGUGGUCAACGAUGUCCGCUGCGGUCGCCAUGGCAGCCGCGGGCCUUACCCCACCCAAGGUGUUGCCACCCAGGUCGGCGACCCCGGCUGCAGCCGGAGCAGGGCUGCCUGCCGCAGCGGUCGUGGCUGUCCCAGCCGCCUGGGGGGCGCCACGGACCUCCACCUGCAUGGGCUCCUCACCGGCCAUCUCAAACUUGGCACAGUGCAGGUGAGAGAGCUGCGGGUCCCAGAUGGGGCCCCACACACAGGCAAAGAUGUGGUUUGUGAUGCCCUGGCCCGCGGGGGCCUGGGGCUCCCCCUUGGGGCCCACCGAUUUGGCGCACUGCUCUGAGACCACAUAAGCACACGCCAGGUUAGAGGGGUCCGAGGUCGUGGGAUAGCCACCCGCCUGCAGCACCAAAUCAGUGCGACCGCGGAAAGCCCCCCACACAGGGCCCCCUACCAUCUUGACCGUGACGGUGUAGGUGCCCGGAAUGAUGGGUCUGGUGUCCACUGGCACGUGAACCGUGAGGACGGCCGUGGCGGACAAGCCUGCUUUCUUUGCCGGGCUGCAUCCCCACCUGGCCACGGACAGGGUGCUUGUUGUCGGUGGGGACUGGAACUGUGUCACCGAUGCCAGUCAGGAGGCGGCCCCUAGCCCGUCACGUGCUGCAGGUGCCCCGCAACUUGCCAGCCUCCUCGCCCAGUUCAGUCUGGUGGACCCUUGGGCGAGCAAGCGUGGCGGCGCCAAGGGCUACACGCAUCCGGCCACGCCCAAGCCGGCCACUCCUGCACGCCUGGAUCGGUGGUAUGUCAGUGCCACCGCGGCGCCGUGGGUGGUGGAUGUCGCUCGCACGUAUGGGGCGCCUGGGGACCACAACGGUGUGCUGCUAACCCUGUCCUUGCCCGACCUGCCACAUGCGCACCGGGAGCAGUGGCGCUUCCCCACAUACCUGCUGUUUCACCCCUCACUGCGUCUGGAGCUCGAGCAGCGCUUGGAGGCGCACGUUGCCGCAAAUCCCGUGGCCAGUACAGGUGACGGCGCUUGCACGCAAUGGGAGGCGGACAAGUUCUUCUUGCGGGAGGCCGCCACCAGCAUCCACCGUCGGCAUGCACGCCAGACCCGGGAUGGGCUGCAUGGCGUGGUGCUGGCCGCAGACACGGCCGCUGCCCUGGCCGACCGGCCGGGUGCCAGCGCCGCGCAGCGUCAGGCUGCGGCCAUGGCCAACUUGGCAGUGCGGGAGGAGCGGGCAGCUGCCGCAGCGGCCAGCCACACUGCCCGCGCUGCACUGAUGGAGGAGCAUGGGGAGCGGGGCACUCGCUGGUUCCAUCGGCAGGCUGACGAGCCAGCAGCCGGCGCGCAGGAGCCCAUCACGCACUUGAAGGUGCCAGGGCAACCGGCGCCUGUGGCACUCACGGGGCCGGGCACGCGCAACACUGUCUCCGCAGCCGCCGCAGCCAUGUACAGCAGCACCAGCCCCACCGGCCUGUUCCGCGUGCAGCCGGUCUGUACGGCGUCGCAGCAACAGCUUCUGGCGGCCAUUGACCGCAAGGUUCCGGCGGAUCUGCACGCCGCCGCAGAGGGGUCCGGUGACGGCGCCCUCAGUGAUGCCGAGCUGAUGGCAGCGCUGGCUGGCUCCGCCAAUGGUAAAGCGCCUGGGUCGGACGGGGUCCCGUACGAGGUGUACAAGGUUUUCUGGGCGCUGCUGGGUCCGCGCUUGUGUGCUGCUGCUGCCGCUGCCUUUGCUGCCGCUGCAGACGCCCACGAUGGUGGUGAAAUGGCGGCGGCGCUGCCCGCCUCCUGGCGGGAGGGCAUCAUCACGCUCAUCUACAAGGGCAAAAGCCUGGACCGCGCCGAGCUGGCGUCCUACCGGCCCAUCACGCUGCUCAACUGCGACUUCAAGAUGGUGUCCAAGGCCGUCAGCGCCCGCCUGCAGCCCGCCCUGGAUGCAGUUGUGGAUGAGCUGCAGACCGCGUUCAUCACCGGCCGCUGGAUUGGAGACAACGCGCUGUACCUCCAAGGCCUGAUCGAAUGGAUGCGCCUGGACGUGGGCGCGGACGGCACGCCACGGCAGGGUGGUGCGCUGUACUUCUUGGACAUUGAAAAGGCGUAUGACCGGGUGCACCGGCAGUGGCUGUAUGCGUCCGCAGAGGGACUGGGGUUUGGGCCGCGCAUGCUGCGCUGGAUCCGCCUGCUCACUGCCAACGGCUCUGCCCGCGUGUGUGUGAACGGGAUGCUCUCUGACGCCUUCCCAGUGCUGAACGGCUUGCCGCAGGGCAGCACCGCCUCACCACCCCUGUGGGUCAUCCAGAUGCAGCCACUGACGUCCUUUCUGCGGCGGCAGGUGGAGCAAGGGGCACUGUGUUGUGCUGUGUUAUCCUGACAGUAAAAGGACUAGCUAGCAGAUGACAGACCAUCGUUUCCACAGCACCGCACUACAACUAUCCCCCCUCCAGAUGAGGCGUCCCGACGAAUUCAACUCGCAGAUACGGGAGCAGAGCUGCGAUACUCCUCAGUUCAGACGUAUCCCCGGAAGCAGAGCCUGCAUACUUCCGUGCCCAGCAGAUGGCGCGGAUCGAACCCGUGACUUGAGGAUAGCUGGUCUCGAUACCACUUAUUGUGCUGCGUUAUCCUGACAGUAAAAGGACUAGCUAGCAGAUGACAGACCAUCGUUUCCACAGCACCGCACUACACACUGCGCACGCCCCUGUUACCCAGCGGUGAGCAGGCGCCACCGGCUGCCCACCACGCUGACGACACGACCCUCACGGUGCGCGACCCGGCGGUGGACGGGCCGGUCCUGAUGGCGGCAGUACAGCUGUUCUGCCGCGCGUCCAACGCCCGUGUCCAUCCGGACAAGAGCAAGGCCAUGGGCCUUGGCAGGUUUGCGCACCUGACGGGCCCUUGCCCACACACGGGGGUGCCGUUUACCACUGGCGCCGUGACGCACCUGGGUGUGCCCCUGUCGUGGGACUCUGAUGCGGCUGCAGCUGACUUGUACACCCGGCGGGCUCGCGGCAUGGCGUUUGUGGCGCGUCUGUGGGCUGCCCUGUCUCUGACUCUGGUUGGCCGUGUGCACAUUGCGAAGCAGGUGCUGGCGGCGAAGCUGGCAUACCACUUCAGCUUCCUCAACCCGUCGCCUGCGCAGCUGAAGGAACUCACCGACCUGGUGGACCACUUUGCUGCGCGCUCCAUGCACGCUGAGGACGCCAGCCUGGUGUCGCACGGGAACCCGCUCCUGCUGCCAAAGCGGGAAACGGCCUGUCUGACGUACAAGGAUGGGGGUGUCAACCACGUCGACCUGCCUGCGUUCCUGUCUGCCCUGCAAGCUAAGACCUUCGCCCUCCUUGCCCAGCCAGGCCGGCAACCCUGGAAGAUGCUCACCCGGGCGCUGCUUACUCAUGUGCGCCCGGACUCCGCCACCACGUGGGCGUGGGUGUACAGCGACGCGCCGGUGCCAGCGGGGCUGCCUGCCCGGCUGGCGGCCGCGGUCGGCCACGUGCGGAGCGCGGGCGUGGAACAGCAUCCGCCGCAGCCAGCCACUCAGCCGCCAGCGGCGCCGCCACAGUGGCGGGUUAGCCUGGACCAGCUGUGGGUGGCUAACACUGCGGGGGCUGUGUCCUACGUCCACUACACGGGGCGGCUCUUGGAGCCUGGGCCUGGCGUGCUGCCCCCGGCGGUGGAUGGGGCGUGGCAGCCUGCCUGUGUGCUGCAGCAUCGCAAGCCGCGGCACCUGUGGACCUUUGAAGAGCGGGCGGCGUACGAUGCAGCAUCACCAGGGGACCGGGCGGGGGCGUGGCCUCGGGCGCCGUACUUCCUGGCGCCGGAGGCUGGGGUGGUGGUGCACCCGGAGCACUGCCGGAUUGCGGGUGUCAGCUUGGCGGACUACACGGUGCGGGACGUGCGGCGGGCCAUCACCGCGGCCAACCCGGCCGCACCUCCAGCUCCGGCCCGCCCCGCAGCCAUGCCGUGCCCGGCGCCAGCUCAGCAGGCGGGGGGUUCGGGGACCCAGCCGGCGGCACAGUCGCGGCUGGCGGAGCGGGAGGCGGAGUGGCAGCGUGCAGCGGCGCAGCUGACCACCACGGCGGCGCAGCAUUUCCACAAUAACCCGGUGGCUCUGGACCCCUGGCUUCACCGCACCUCUGCGGCAGCCGGGCUGCAGAACACGCCGGCGAGAGAACUGCAGUCGUAUGCGUCCCCGUCCCAGCAGUCGGGUGAGGGGCCGCGGCGGUCCGCGCGGCUGCAGGAGCGGGCGGCGGGAGGGGCGGGACCUAGCACUGGGCCUGCCACGGCGGUGGCGGCAGCAGCGGCGGCGGUGGAGGGCGACCCUCGCAUGCCGCCCCCGGAUGCGUCCCUUCUGCGGGGUACGUGGCGGAGGCUGUGGGACAGCCAUGCCAGUCGGGGGGCAAAGGUGCUGGUGUACAGGCUGCAACAUGCUUACCUGCCUUGCGGGCUGUACAGGGCGGGCAAGGGCAUUCGGCCACGGGUGACCACGGGGUGCGGGGGGUUGGGGGCGCACUGUCCUCACCCCGCCUGCGGGCCACCUGGCCCGCGGGCAUGGGCCAGCCUGACGCACAUCUUCCUGGAGUGUCCAGCUUAUGCGCAGGCGAGGACGUGGCUGCAGCAGCUGUGGGCCUGCGUGGCGCCCCAGGCAGCGGCGCCGCCUGUGACGGACGCGGGCUUCAUGCUGGGGGACCGCAUGGGUAUGUGGGCCUCAGGCCCGCGGGGGGCGGGCGCGCUGCUGUGGAGCACUUUGCGGGCCACCUUCUUGUACGCCGUCUGGUGUGCGUACUGGUCCCGCGAGCCUGCUAAGCAGACGUCGGAGCAUGUGGUUCGGGAGGUGGUCAGCGAGCUGCGCAGGGUGAUGCAGCUGCGUUUCACUGCCGCCACGCUAACCCCUGAAACCCUGUCGGCUCUGCCCACUCAGCUUCUCACCGCACAGCUCAAGGCGGCUAAGCUGGAGCACUUUGUUGCCAUCUGGUCGGCGGGUGGCGCGCUUUGUGAAGUGGAGGAGGUUCAGGGUGGGUCACCGAAGUUGAACUUGCGGCUGACGCUUGCAUCACCUGUGCAGGCCCCCUAGGUUUCCUUUUGGGCGGCGGUUCGUUCCAGGCGCUGGCGUGGCGUUUAUCGUCAUCAGCUUAUCUGGCGCCCAUGUGUGUUAGCUCUGGCUGGCGUCGCAGCGCCUGGGCGGCUGUGGACCUUCCUGCACAGCGCGUCUUGCAGCGGGCUGGAGCCCGCCUAGUCAGCGCCACAUCUGGCCCGUUUAGUUUUCUGCUUGUGUCUCCUCUGCCGGUUCUCCUGGGGUGUUGCUUAAGCAACCGACUUGUGGGGGUGGGGUGGGUUUUGGGCGGGCGAGUGCGUAGCGCUGGUGUUUCCUCUUCUGGCGCGCGGUGGUGGUGGUUCUUGCGGUUAGGCUGUGGUGUAGGCUGGUGCUUGGGUUAGGUCUGGCGGUGUUUUUGUGCAACCCCUCCCGGGGGGCGGGGGGGCCAGCCUUCUGCUCUGUCUGCCG
RNAcentral lists this long non-coding RNA (6183 nucleotides) under Chlamydomonas reinhardtii. Its description in RNAcentral is "long non-coding RNA (CREI_LNC000613)". The record is from RNAcentral. Lineage: Eukaryota; Viridiplantae; Chlorophyta; Chlorophyceae; Chlamydomonadales; Chlamydomonadaceae.